This 255-nucleotide ribosomal RNA is filed under the name uncultured bacterium. Its description in RNAcentral is "partial small subunit ribosomal RNA". It matches the Rfam family "Bacterial small subunit ribosomal RNA", at positions 26 to 285 of the family's 1533-position model. The record is from RNAcentral.
AGGACGAACGCUGGCGGCGUGCUUAACACAUGCAAGUCGAACGGUAAGGCCUUUCGGGGUACACGAGUGGCGAACGGGUGAGUAACACGUGGGUGAUCUGCCCUGCACUUUGGGAUAAGCCUGGGAAACUGGGUCUAAUACCGAAUAUGACCGCGCCAUGCAUGUGGUGUGGUGGAAAGCUUUUGCGGUGUGGGAUGGGCCCGCGGCCUAUCAGCUUGUUGGCGGGGUGAUGGCCUACCAAGGCGACGACGGGUA